RNAcentral lists this ribosomal RNA (461 nucleotides) under uncultured bacterium. RNAcentral describes it as "bacterial SSU rRNA". It matches the Rfam family "Bacterial small subunit ribosomal RNA", at positions 338 to 795 of the family's 1533-position model. The record is from RNAcentral.
CCUACGGGUCGCAGCAGUAGGGAAUAUUGGGCAAUGGACGCAAGUCUGACCCAGCCACGCCGCGUGCAGGAAGACGGCCCUCUGGGUUGUAAACUGCUUUUGACUGGGAAGAAAAGACUCCUUGCGAGGAGAGUUGACGGUACCAGCAGAAUAAGCCACGGCUAACUACGUGCCAGCAGCCGCGGUAAUACGUAGGUGGCGAGCGUUAUCCGGAUUUAUUGGGUUUAAAGGGUGCGUAGGCGGCUGAUUAAGUCAGCGGUGAAAGGUAGCAGCUUAACUGUUUUACAUGCCGUUGAUACUGGUUAGCUUGAGUUAACAGAAGGCAAAUAGAAUUUCUGGUGUAGCGGUGAAAUGCUUAGAUACCAGGAGGAAUACCGAUUGCGAAGGCAGUCUGCUGCAGUUACACUGACUCUGAGGCACGAAAGUGCGGGGAUCAAACAGGAUUAGAUACCCGCGUAGUC